RNAcentral lists this ribosomal RNA (535 nucleotides) under Micrura sp. not coei. RNAcentral's name for it is "partial 16S ribosomal RNA". It matches the Rfam family "Bacterial large subunit ribosomal RNA", at positions 1840 to 2624 of the family's 2925-position model. Lineage: Eukaryota; Metazoa; Nemertea; Pilidiophora; Heteronemertea; Lineidae. The record is from RNAcentral.
UUUUUAUAAUAAGUUUUUUCUGCCCGGUGUAUUGUUAUAAACGGCCGCGGUAUUUUGACCGUGCGAAGGUAGCGUAAUCAUUUGCUCUUUAAUUGGGGGCUUGUAUGAAAGAAAUUUUGAGACUUUUUCUGUCUUUUUCUAAAAGUUAGAAUUUGCUGUUUUUGUGAAGAAGCAGGAUUUUGUCAAAAAGACAAGAAGACCCUUUUAAGCUUUAUUCUUUGCUUUUCGCUAUUUGCUUUUCUUGUUUGUUUAAGGUAUGGUUUGGUGUUAAUUAGGUUUUGGUUGGGGUGACUGAAGAAGACUGGAUCUUCUUUGUUUGUUUGGGCUUGUUGGCUAAAUUGUGACCCAAGAUUUUUUGGUUGAAAAAAUUAGUUACUGAAGGGAUAACAGCGUAAUCUUUUCGGAGAGUUCUUAUUGAAGAAAAGGAUUGCGACCUCGAUGUUGACUUGCUUUUUCCUGAUAAGGUGUAGGGGCUGUGAGGGUUGGUCUGUUCGACCAUUAAAAAAGUACGUGAGUUGAGUUCAGACCGGCGUGA